This 83-nucleotide transfer RNA is filed under the name Saccharomyces cerevisiae (brewer's yeast). RNAcentral describes it as "tRNA-Leu (TAA) (tRNA-Leu-TAA-5-1)". It matches the Rfam family "tRNA", at positions 5 to 66 of the family's 71-position model. Rfam says of the family: Transfer RNA (tRNA) molecules are approximately 80 nucleotides in length. Their secondary structure includes four short double-helical elements and three loops (D, anti-codon, and T loops). Lineage: Eukaryota; Fungi; Ascomycota; Saccharomycetes; Saccharomycetales; Saccharomycetaceae. The record is from RNAcentral.
CGGAGGGUUGGCCGAGUGGUCUAAGGCGGCAGACUUAAGAUCUGUUGGACGGUUGUCCGCGCGAGUUCGAACCUCGCAUCNGG